UUAAAAUGAUGAUUAAAAAUGUCUGAUCUGAAAUAACAUGUGGAUUAAUCAUACUGAUAAG
This 61-nucleotide small nucleolar RNA is filed under the name Salvator merianae (Argentine black and white tegu). The record is from RNAcentral. Lineage: Eukaryota; Metazoa; Chordata; Lepidosauria; Squamata; Teiidae.